RNAcentral lists this ribosomal RNA (386 nucleotides) under uncultured euryarchaeote. Its description in RNAcentral is "bacterial SSU rRNA". It matches the Rfam family "Archaeal small subunit ribosomal RNA", at positions 474 to 859 of the family's 1478-position model. The record is from RNAcentral. Lineage: Archaea; Methanobacteriati; Methanobacteriota.
CACCAGCGCCACAAGUGGGAGCCGCAAUUAUUGGGCCUAAAGCGUCCGUAGCUCGUCUAUUAAAUUUUCUGUGAAAUCAUGCAGCCUAACUGAAUGGUGUGCAGGAAAGACUGGUAGACUAGGGACCGGGAGGAGUCAGAGGUAUUCCUUGGGGAGCGGUAAAAUGCUAUAAUCCUUGGAAGACCACCUGUGGUGAAGACGUCUGACUAGAACGGAUCCGACAGUGAGGGACGAAAGCCAGGGGAGCAAACCGGAUUAGAUACCCGAGUAGUCCUGGCCGUAAACGCUGCGAGCUAGGUGUUGCGCAUUCUUCGUGAUUGCGCAGUGUCGAAGCGAAGGUGUUAAGCUCGCCGCCUGGGAAGUAUGGUCGCAAGACUGAAACUUAA